GAUGAACGCUGGCGGCAGGCUUAACACAUGCAAGUCGAGCGAGCGGCGGACGGGUGAGUAAUGUCUGGGAAACUGCCUGAUGGAGGGGGAUAACUAAUGGAAACGGUAGCUAAUACAGCAUACCAUCAGAUGUGCCCAGAUGGGAUUAGCUAGUAGGUGGGGUAAGGGCUCACCUAGGCGACGAUCCCUAGCUGGUCUGAGAGGAUGACCAGCCACACUUGAACUGAGACACGGUCCAGACCCCUACGGUAGGCAGCAGUGGGGAAGAUUGCACAAUGGUCCCAACCCGGAUGCAGCCAUGCCGCGUGUGUGAAGAAGGCCUGCGGUUUGUAAAGCACUUUCAGCGAGUAGGCGUUACUCGCAGAAGAAGCACCGGCUAACUCCGUGCCAGCAGCCGCGGUAAUAC
This 406-nucleotide ribosomal RNA is filed under the name uncultured bacterium. RNAcentral's name for it is "partial 16S ribosomal RNA". It matches the Rfam family "Bacterial small subunit ribosomal RNA", at positions 28 to 526 of the family's 1533-position model. The record is from RNAcentral.